GUCUGAACUCAAAUCAGGUAAGAUUACCCGCUGAAUUUAAGCAUAUUAAUAAGCGGAGGAAAAGAAACUAACAAGGAUUCCCUUAGUAACGGCGAGUGAAGCGGGAACAGCUCAAGCUUGAAAUCAGCAUUUGGUAAACAUAUGUUGAGUUGUACCUUUUGGAAGCAGUUUCAAGCGACUGGUUGCGGUAAAAGUUCUUUUGAAUAAGACAUCAAAGAGGGUGAGAAUCCCGUCCUUGACCGUGAUUUAAGUUGUGAUACGAACUGUUUUCUGCGAGUCGGGUUGUUUGGGAAUGCAGCCCUAAUUGGGAGGUAAAUUUCUUCCAAAGCUAAAUAUCAGUAAGAGACCGAUAGCAAACAAGUACCGUGAGGGAAAGAUGAAAAGCACUUUGAAAAGAGAGUGAAAAGUACGUGAAAUUGUUGAAAGGGAACCGGUUGGUAGCCAAGCAUUUCCUAGCAAUAGGAAGGUCAACAUCGAUUGCUAUUUAACUGCCAGAAAGGAAAUUAUGCAGACUAGCGGAGGAAGGUAGGGAUUCGAGUUUCCAGAUCAUUCGUGGUUUGGUAUUAUGGCUCGAGUUCUGUUAUAGCCUCCAUGGGUUUGCUUUUUACGCCUAGUGGUGGUGGCGAUCGAGGACUGCAGCGCGUUUUCCAUUUUUAAUGGGAUGAUCUAAUUGUUUGAGAGCAUUGUAGUUGUGAUUUGGUAGACAGCAUGCUGACUAUCAUUGGCAAUUAUAUGAUUUUGGGCAUUUGGGAUUAAUAAGCGCUUUGGAUGUUGGCGAAAAGGCACUAAUCGACCCGUCUUGAAACACGGACCAAGGAGUCCAACAUGCAUGCGAGUAUCUGGGAAAAUUAAACCCAUAUGCGCAAUGAAAGUGAACUAGUAGAAACUUUUAUUAGAAUGCAACCGGGAUAGUAUCCUGGGCAGCAUCGACCGACUUUAGAUAGCGUUGCUUGAAAAGGUUGAGUAAGAGCAUGUAUGCUGGGACCCGAAAGAUGGUGAACUAUGCCUGAAUAGGGUGAAGUCAGAGGAAACUCUGAUGGAAGCUCGUAGAGAUUCUGACGUGCAAAUCGAUCUCCAAAUUUGGGUAUAGGGGCGAAA
Molecule: ribosomal RNA, 1098 nt
Filed under: Smittium commune
Lineage: Eukaryota; Fungi; Kickxellomycota; Harpellomycetes; Harpellales; Legeriomycetaceae
Description: eukaryotic LSU rRNA
Rfam family: Eukaryotic large subunit ribosomal RNA
Source: RNAcentral